This is a long non-coding RNA of Mauremys reevesii (Reeves's turtle), 2110 nucleotides long. RefSeq lists it as uncharacterized. The transcript has 3 exons. Lineage: Eukaryota; Metazoa; Chordata; Testudines; Geoemydidae. The record is from RefSeq and is a predicted model, not a curated record.
GGUUCAGAGCCAGAGGCCGCUCUCCCCUGCCACGUGUUUCCCCUUGAUUAGAGCCUCCCACGUGGCGAGGACUGGCCGAGAACCUCUCACCUGAAUCCCCUUUGCCCCCGGGAGUCAAUCAGACGCGGCUGUCACAGCUGUGCGCUGGAGGGAGGGGGGGCUCUGCUUUUACAGCUGGGGUAACCUCAUUUCACCCCGACGCUCUGGCUCCCAAGCCCAGCAGCUAUUCUUCAAAACCCACCAGCCUGGACAUCACUGGAGACGAUUGACAGCAGCUGAGGAUGAGGGGCCCUAUGGCCCAAGGAGCAACCAUUAAAGCCCUUUCCUCUCCCCUGGCUUGUCAGUUGCCCCAGCAGGUUAGGCGCUGCAGGUCAAUUAAAGCAGUGUGCCACGCAGAUCUUGAUCAGAGAGGAAGAAGCAGCGGAGGCUGACCCUGAUUCACCCCCGAGCCUUGGUUCCAUUUUACAGAUGGGUACAUCCAGAAGGAGGCAAAGGCUCAGCUCCUCAAAGAGCAAGAGAUCAGUCCCUGGAAGGAGCCACAGAUGACCACACGAGGGCACUACUCAGCAUCUAUUACAUCUCCUGGAGUUUUAUUUUAUAGCCUGUGCCAGAAACUGGAAACAGACCUAACAAGAGGGCUGUGCUGCAGACAGUGCUUUGGGUGCUGAGACAGUAUUUCUGGGGUUUGAAAGAAAAUGCAGAGGAGACAUUGUUUAAAGCUCCCAGGUGGUGUCUGUCACUUAGCCGCCAGUGAAUGACUCAGGACGCUUGACCUAUUCAGAUGCUGAGCCAUGGAUUUGGUUUUGAGAUGGUGGCUUGAAUUGGAUUUCACUCUGAGUUGAGGAUGCGGUCAGAAGUGACCUAAUGCUGCCUCCUUUCCCUAGUCCAGUUUCACUCUCUCUGUGGAGUAAAUCUCCUCUCUUGCUGUUUAUCUGUAGUGUUCACAGAAUGAAGCCUGGGAAUGGCACAUAAUGCAGGAUUCUUUCCUCCUCAGCACUUGUGUCCAUGAUUUUCCUGUCUUCUAUUCCAGUCUGACUUUACUUUGGAAACCCUUUGGAGUUUGGCAGGACAAGUAGACACUGCCUCCCUGUGAUCUACUAACAAGAACAAACACCUUAUCAGCCUGAUUCCCCAUUGACUCGCAGUGCUUUACACAGGUGUAAAUGACUACAGAAGCAGCAAGGGAGUGGAGAAGAAUCAGGCCUCAGGAAGGAACCAGCAGAAAUCUUUAGAGGGACGGAAGCUCCUUGUGCUUUCCAGAAGAUGGCGCUCAUUCUCCAUUUGAUUGGGGAGCAGCCUGAGCUUUAGGCAGAGAAAGGAGCUACUUGAACAAGAUGCAAAGAUACUUUGCUUGAGCCUGGUGAUGUGAUCCUUUGUUUUGUGGUUAUGAGCUGGACAUACAAAAAUAAAACAAACACAUAUGUACCCAGAGAGCAGCUCAGCACAAGAGACCAAGGCCCAGAUCCUCAGAGAUAUGUAGGCGCUUAUUUUAACUCCUCCCCAUUGCAAUGGGAGUUAAGUGUCUAAAGAACUUCGAGGAUCUGAGUCUUCUGUAGGUUGCCAUGCCCACGUGGUAUGUCUUACAGCUGGUACUGCUGUGUGCCAAGCUCCAUGGAGCCACCAAAUGAUAGUCAAGAAAACAUCUCUUGAAAUCACAAUAGCACAAUGGGAAUUUUAACCCAAGCCACAUGCCCUUCCCAUCUGUUUGCAGACUGGUAUAAUGGAAAAACAGAGACAGGCACUUUCACACCCCAGUGACUAAACUUAGGCACCUGAAUCCAUAUUUAAGCCCCUGUGCAUGCUGCUUGAUUUUCAAAUGCCCUAAGCUCCCCUGUCUCCUUCUGACAGGUGCUCAGCAGCUCUGUAAACCAUUUAUUUAGGGGCCUAAAUAUAGAUCUAGUUGACUAACUUUUAAGCACCCAGGUGUGGACAUAUUUGAUCACAAGCUUAACUGUGUAGUAGAAGAAAACAAAUCAGUGUCUGAGCAACCACGAGACAAGAAGCUCUUUGCACAGAGGUAAAGGUCUCCCUCUUUGCAGCUGCAAAUUGGCUUUACCUUGGGCUCCCUGCAUUCUGCUCAUGUCCAUUAUAAUCUCCCUCUUUAAUGCCC